This 119-nucleotide ribosomal RNA is filed under the name Centruroides sculpturatus (bark scorpion). The record is from RNAcentral. Lineage: Eukaryota; Metazoa; Arthropoda; Arachnida; Scorpiones; Buthidae.
GAUAGCGGCCAUACCACGCUGAAAAUACCGGUUCUCGUCCGAUCACCGAAGUGAAACGGCGUAGGGCCCGGUCAGUACUUGGGACGGAGACGACCUGGGAAUACCGGGUGCUGCUAUCA